Branchiostoma belcheri (Belcher's lancelet) is the source of this 1353-nucleotide long non-coding RNA. RefSeq lists it as uncharacterized. NCBI's taxonomy places the organism in Eukaryota, Metazoa, Chordata, Leptocardii, Amphioxiformes, Branchiostomatidae. The transcript has 4 exons. The record is from RefSeq and is a predicted model, not a curated record.
CUCCUUUUUCCAUAAACCCCAAAAUUUUUGUAUCUUGUGUGUCAACAGUGAAAUAUGUGUGUGUUGUUGUUUUUUUUCAACACAGCCGAAGCAAGAUUGUUUUGUGUUGUUGACAGUGAAUUGCUGUUAUUAUAUUUACAAUCAAUUGCAAUAAUUGUGCAGGGUUUUGGGCAGCAUUGCCUGCAUCAUCAGUGAAAGGAAGAACACUCAUCACAGCAUCCGCACCAGUCUGGACUCCCAUGAUGAAGUGGAGCUGGAGGCAGCAAUAUUUGCUGCAUCGUGUUUCCCAGCUCAGUCCAGAACAUUUGCUGUUGGAAUUUGCAACAAGAUAGCAGAGAUGAUUCAAGGUCUUGCCACUCCAGUUGAGAUGAAGCUGAAACAGUAACUGAUCCCCAUCUCCCAGCACAUGCAUCAUGAUGCUCAGACAGCAGCCAAGGUGCGGCAGCUGUGUGUGGACAUGCUGCACUCAUACCCUGCCCGUGGGUUCGUCAUAGUCACCCUCCACACACUCUCACUGCUGUCUGCUAAGACUCUGAUUGACAUCCCACAGCAGGUUGAGCUGUUAUUACAUUAUCUACAACAAGAUCCACGUCGGACCAUUAAGCUGAAGGUGCUGAGUGACACUCGCGCAAUGCUCCAGAGCCGUAUCGCGCCAGUUUGUAAAAGAGUUCUAUAGAGAUCAUGUCGACAGUUUGAAGAAAACCGACCCUUCUGAGUGGCACAAACAAGUACGACGCCUGGCUAACCUCUCCAAACCCGCUUCCACUGUCCAUGUUCCAGGUGUGAACCAGUCAGACAUCUGUACCGUAGCCGGAGCUAUCAACGGGCACCUAGCCACAAUCUGCCAGGCUCUGCCUCCGCUUGACCGGGACAAACUCCCGGCAUUCUUACCGACUAGUCCGCCGCCCCAAAUCGAACCUUGGCAAAUGUACCACUGCCUGAAAAAGGUCAAAGUAAGAAAAGCCCCAGGUCCAGACGCUAUCCCGCCUACCCUAAUAAAAGAGUUUGCUUAUGAACUUGCUACGCCCCUUACCGAUAUCAUGAACGCAUCUCUUCAACAAGGCAGUGUACCACCUGAGUGGAGGGACGCGAUUGUCAUUCCCGUCCCGAAGGAACAGCCAGCAGACCUUGAUAAGAUCAGACCGGUGUCGCUGACGUCACAAUUUGCCAAGGUAGCGGAGGGCUUCGUACUCCCGUGGCUCCUUCGUGACAUUAUGCCGAGUGUUGACAUGAGGCAGUUCGGAAACAUCAAAGGCGUCUCCACAACUCACUGCUUGGUUGAAAUUCUUGACUUUCUCUUCAGAGGUGCAGAGAACAAGCAAUCUGUCAGUAACCUGGUUAUGACGGAUUUUA